Molecule: ribosomal RNA, 306 nt
Filed under: Triticum aestivum (bread wheat)
Lineage: Eukaryota; Viridiplantae; Streptophyta; Magnoliopsida; Poales; Poaceae
Description: partial small subunit ribosomal RNA
Source: RNAcentral
AUGACCGGACAGCAAAUACUGAAUGUCGACGCAUCCUACUCAGAAGACGAUUUCACAGAAGCUUGUGGAGUUGUGCUUCGCGAUAACAGAGGAGGCUUCAUCAGGGCAGCUACGGCGAGACUGGACCACGUCCCAGAUGUGGUUUCAGCAGAAGCAACAGCGCUGUUGGAGGGACUAAAACUAGCACAGAGCACUGGAUGCAACAAUCUUUUAGUACAUAUGGACAACCUGAUAGUGGUGCAGGCGCUAAAUAAUAAUGAAGGACACACGAUGGUGGCGGCUCCUAUUUUGCAAGAUUGUGAGUGA